This 301-nucleotide ribosomal RNA is filed under the name uncultured bacterium. RNAcentral describes it as "partial 16S ribosomal RNA". It matches the Rfam family "Bacterial small subunit ribosomal RNA", at positions 509 to 807 of the family's 1533-position model. The record is from RNAcentral.
CAGUAGCCGCGGUAAUACGAAGGGUGCAAGCGUUACUCGGAAUUACUGGGCGUAAAGCGUGCGUAGGUGGUGGUUUAAGUCCGUUGUGAAAGCCCUGGGCUCAACCUGGGAAUUGCAGUGGAUACUGGGUCACUAGAGUGUGGUAGAGGAUAGUGGAAUUUCCGGUGUAGCAGUGAAAUGCGUAGAGAUCGGAAGGAACACCUGUGGCGAAAGCGGCUCACUGGACCAUAACUGACGCUGAUGCACGAAAGCUAGGGGAGCAAACAGGAUUAGAUACCCGUGUAGUCCCUGUCUCUUAUAC